RNAcentral lists this small RNA (78 nucleotides) under Mucilaginibacter yixingensis. RNAcentral describes it as "Flavo-1 RNA". The record is from RNAcentral. Lineage: Bacteria; Pseudomonadati; Bacteroidota; Sphingobacteriia; Sphingobacteriales; Sphingobacteriaceae.
CCAUAAACCCGGUUGCAGUGGAAAGCCCGGAAUGCAGCGUAGCGGAAUGAGGACUUGUAACGGAAAACGGGGCUAUCG